UGAAUACGAGACGCUAAGGCGUCGAAGUAGUGUAUGUCAUACUUCCAAGAAAAGCUUGCACUGUCAUAGAUAAAAAACGCCUGUACCAUAACCGACACAGGUGGGUAGGUAGAGUAUACUAAGGGGCUCGAGAUAACUCUCUCUAAGGAACUCGGCAAAAUAACUCCGUAACUUCGGGAGAAGGAGUGCCUUAUUCGUAAGGUUGCAAUAACAAGAUCCAAGCAACUGUUUAUCAAAAACACAGGUCUCCGCUAAGUCGUAAGACGAUGUAUGGGGGCUGACGCCUGCCCAGUGCCAGAAGGUUAAAGAAGUUGGUUAGCAAUUGCGAAGCUGAUAACUGAAGCCCUGGUGAACGGCGGCCGUAACGAUAACGGUCCUAAGGUAGCGAAAUUCCUUGUCGGGUAAGUUCCGACCCGCACGAAAGGCGUAAUGAUUUGGAUACUGUCUCGGAGAGGGGCUCGGUGAAAUAGACUUGUCUGUGAAGAUGCGGACUACCUGCACCAGGACAGAAAGACCCUAUGAAGCUUUACUGUAACUUGGAAUUGAAAUUGGACUUUAUUCGCGCAGUAUAGGUGGGAGGCGUUGAUUAUAAUCUUGUGGGAUUAUUGGAGCCAUCAGUGAGAUACCACUCUUGUAAUGUUAGAUUUCUAACUUUGAAUCAUUAUCUGGUCAAAGAACAGUUUCAGGCGGGCAGUUUGACUGGGGCGGUCGCCUCCUAAACGGUCACGGAGGCGUACAAAGGUUUCCUCUGAACGGUUAGAAAUCGUAUCUAGAGUGUAAAGGCAUAAGGAAGCUUGACUGUGAGACCUACAAGUCGAGCAGGGACGAAAGUCGGUCUUAGUGAUCUGACGGUACUGAGUGGAAAGGCCGUCACUCAACGGAUAAAAGUUACUCUAGGAUAACAGGCUGAUCUCCCCCAAGAGUUCACAUCGACGGGGAGGUUUGGCACCUCGAUGUCGGCUCAUCGCAUCCUGGGGCGGUAGUACGUCCCAAGGGUUGGGCUGUUCGCCCAUGAAAGCGGUACGCGAGCUGGGUUCAGAACGUCGUGAGACAGUUCGGUCCAUAUCCGGUGUAGGCGUUAGAAUAUUGAGAGGAGCCUUCUUUAGUACGAGAGGACCGAGAAGGACAUACCUCUGGUGUACCAGUUAUCGUGCCAACGGUAAACGCUGGGUAGCUAUGUAUGGAGUGGAUAACCGCUGAAAGCAUCUAAGUGGGAAGCCCACCUCAAGAUAAGUAUUCUCA
This 1242-nucleotide ribosomal RNA is filed under the name metagenome. RNAcentral describes it as "bacterial LSU rRNA". It matches the Rfam family "Bacterial large subunit ribosomal RNA", at positions 1564 to 2816 of the family's 2925-position model. The record is from RNAcentral.